This 95-nucleotide ribosomal RNA is filed under the name uncultured bacterium. Its description in RNAcentral is "partial 16S ribosomal RNA". It matches the Rfam family "Archaeal small subunit ribosomal RNA", at positions 1333 to 1428 of the family's 1478-position model. The record is from RNAcentral.
CUCCUUGCAUACACCGCCCGUCGCUUCACCGAAGCUGGUUCUUGGCGAGGUGGCGCCUAAUUGGCGCUAUCGAACCUGGGGUCAGCAACGGGGAG